RNAcentral lists this ribosomal RNA (442 nucleotides) under uncultured bacterium. Its description in RNAcentral is "partial 16S ribosomal RNA". It matches the Rfam family "Bacterial small subunit ribosomal RNA", at positions 338 to 795 of the family's 1533-position model. The record is from RNAcentral.
CCUACGGGAGGCAGCAGUGGGGAAUAUUGGGCAAUGGGCGCAAGCCUGACCCAGCAACGCCGCGUGAAGGAAGAAGGCUUUCGGGUUGUAAACUUCUUUUAAGGGGGAAGAGCAGAAGACGGUACCCCUUGAAUAAGCCACGGCUAACUACGUGCCAGCAGCUGCGGUAAUACGUAGGUGGCAGGCGUUGUCCGGAUUUACUGGGUGUAAAGGGCGUGCAGCCGGGGAGACAAGUCAGAUGUGAAAUCCACGGGCUCAACCCGUGAACUGCAUUUGAAACUGUUUCCCUUGAGUGUCGGAGAGGUAAUCGGAAUUCCUUGUGUAGCGGUGAAAUGCGUAGAUAUAAGGAAGAACACCAGUGGCGAAGGCGGAUUACUGGACGAUAACUGACGGUGAGGCGCGAAAGCGUGGGGAGCAAACAGGAUUAGAUACCCGAGUAGUC